GGUGAACGCUGGCGGCGUGCCUAACACAUGCAAGUCGAGCGGUGCAGUUUGAAGCUUCGGUGGAAAGCUGCAUAGCGGCGGACGGGUGAGGAAAACGUAGGAACGUGCCCCUUGGAGUUGGAUAGCCACGGGAAACUGUGGGUAAACCGACAUAGACUCGAGAGAGUAAAGGCCGAAAGGCGCCAAGGGAGCGGCCUGCGGCCCAUCAGGUAGUUGGUAGUGUAAAGGACUACCAAGCCGACGACGGGUAGCCGGUCUGAGAGGAUGAUCAGCCACACUGGAACUGAGACACGGUCCAGACUCCUACGGGAGGCAGCAGUGGGGAAUAUUGGACAAUGGGCGCAAGCCUGAUCCAGCCAUGCCGCGUGUGUGAAGAAGGCCUUGGGUUGUAAAGCACUUUUGUUGGGAAGAAACCGACCGGAUUAAUACUUCGGUUGAAUGACGGUACCCAAAGAAUAAGCACGGCUAACUUCGUGCCAGCAGCCGCGGUAAGAGUGUGUGUA
Molecule: ribosomal RNA, 503 nt
Filed under: uncultured bacterium
Lineage: Bacteria
Description: bacterial SSU rRNA
Rfam family: Bacterial small subunit ribosomal RNA
Source: RNAcentral